This 95-nucleotide transfer RNA is filed under the name Xylaria sp. FL0043. RNAcentral describes it as "tRNA-Glu". It matches the Rfam family "tRNA". Rfam says of the family: Transfer RNA (tRNA) molecules are approximately 80 nucleotides in length. Their secondary structure includes four short double-helical elements and three loops (D, anti-codon, and T loops). Further hydrogen bonds mediate the characteristic L-shaped molecular structure. tRNAs have two regions of fundamental functional importance: the anti-codon, which is responsible for specific mRNA codon recognition, and the 3' end, to which the tRNAs corresponding amino acid is attached (by aminoacyl-tRNA synthetases). tRNAs cope with the degeneracy of the genetic code in two manners: having more than one tRNA (with a specific anti-codon) for a particular amino acid; and 'wobble' base-pairing, i.e. permitting non-standard base-pairing at the 3rd anti-codon position. Lineage: Eukaryota; Fungi; Ascomycota; Sordariomycetes; Xylariales; Xylariaceae. The record is from RNAcentral.
UCCGAAUUGGUGUAGUGGCUAACAUUUGACGCUCUCAAGUACAUCCGUUCUGUGUGCGUGCCGUCAAGCCCGGGGUUCGAUUCCCCGAUUCGGAG